Molecule: ribosomal RNA, 520 nt
Filed under: uncultured Glomus
Lineage: Eukaryota; Fungi; Glomeromycota; Glomeromycetes; Glomerales; Glomeraceae
Description: SSU rRNA
Rfam family: Eukaryotic small subunit ribosomal RNA
Source: RNAcentral
AGCAGCCGCGGUAAUUCCAGCUCCAAUAGCGUAUAUUAAAGUUGUUGCAGUUAAAAAGCUCGUAGUUGAAUUUCGAGACCGGCUUACUGGUCGUGCUAUUGUACGUACUGGUAUAAUCGGUUUCUCCUUUCUGACGAACUAUAAUGCCAUUAAUUUGGUGUUUUAGGGAAUCAGGACUGUUACUUUGAAAAAAUUAGAGUGUUUAAAGCAGGCUCACGCUUGAAUACAUUAGCAUGGAAUAACGGAAUAGGACGUUUGAUUCUAUUUUGUUGGUUUCUAGGAUCGACGUAAUGAUUAAUAGGGAUAGUUGGGGGCAUUAGUAUUCAAUUGUCAGAGGUGAAAUUCUUGGAUUUAUUGAAGACUAACUACUGCGAAAGCAUUUGCCAAGGAUGUUUUCAUUAAUCAAGAACGAAAGUUAGGGGAUCGAAGACGAUCAGAUACCGUCGUAGUCUUAACCAUAAACUAUGCCGACUAGGGAUCGGAUGAUGUUAAUUUUUUAAUGACUCAUUCGGCGCCUUAC